GUGGAUGGGCAGAUGGAUGGGUGGAUGGUUGGGUGGGUGGAUGAAUGGUUGGCCAGUCCAUAUGGACAAACAAGCAAAUACACAGACAGUAAUUCAAUGUAGUCUGAGUUGCCAGUUGGAGCCAAGCCAAGCAGAAGUCCCUGGGACAGUUGGGAGUUCUAUGCCUGUAGGUUCCUUGACACACUCACUAUAUAUCAGAUGAUAUGUCCACUGGGGCCAUAACCCUCUCUGGGUUAGGUAGGUGUGUUCUCUUCGGGGUCCAGGCAGGAAUACUGUGCCCUUUCAGUAUGAAAACAUUUUUGGUGAGGUUUGAAAACGCCUUCAUUCUCAAGAGGUUUCUUCUGAAAUCCAGAUGUCUCCAUGACAAGGCUGCAACUUGUCUCGCCUGUGCUGACGCUUUACAAGAUUCCACUGCAGCAGAAAGAGCUCCAGAGCAGCUUCCUGGUAGGAAGAAGCCGCGCUUGAGGUGGUAGAAGCGUCCAUCCUAACAGAGGACUGCCUAUCCUGGUGCUCUCAGCCACAGCUGCCGCCAGCCUCCAGCAAGCAUUGGCUCUGACAUCUCUCUCUGCCCUUGGCCUGUACAUUUCUCCAGCUCCUGCCGCAGGCUGGAAAAUUAGCUUCGAAGGCUGCAGGACCUUCCUCAGCUACCUCGACUGUUGCUACUCCUGCAAGCUCACUCUACCACCCCAGCUAGGUGAGCUGAGGAGGCUCAGGGGUUCCUUUGCUAGGCAGAGAUGGUGAAUCCUGCCCGCUCCCUACCCACCAUAUACUUGGCUACCAGCUUUCAUUUGUUUCUUUUCUUUUGUGAGUUAGGGUCUCCCAGCCCAGACAGGCCUCACACUGGAGCUAAUCUUGAAUUUUGAACUUCUUCACUUUCUUUCUUUGCUUUAAUUUUUAAAAUUCUUUUGAAAGUUUUAUACACUUAUAGAAUUGAUUCUAUCGACCAUUUCCAUCUACCUCUACUUCCCUGUAACCCUCUCUAGUUCUACCCACCCAUCUCCCUUCUAAUUUCACGUCUCCUACUUAAAAACUGUUAUUAAAACCCCUGAGUCUUAUUAAUGCUGCUGUUUGAAGACUUAACUAUACAAUAAAGGCAAGAGAAGGAAAUAAGAGGGAAUCAAAUAGGAACAGAAGAUGAAGUAUCUCUUUAUGCCAAAGGUAUGAUUCUACAUGUGAGAGGCCCUAUGGACCCCACCCACACCUCAUAUAUCUAAAACACUUUCAGCUAAGUGGCCAGAUACAAAUUAACCCAAGUCAGCUGUCUUCCAUUAUGUCAGUGAUGAACUUGAAACUGCAGAUCCUCCAGUGUCCACACCAGUGUCCUCCAGUGUUACAGCGUUGUACACCACAGCCGGCCCAUGGCUUCUGCAUGCUGGGCAAGCCCCUACUAACAACUUCACCAGGUUACUGGUUUUUAAAAUUGGGUCUUGUUCUUUGGGUUUGCCACAUAGUAUGAUCCAUAUGCCACCUACUUUCUUUUCUUUUUUCCCCUUACUGAGAUUAAUUAUGGAUGCUUGUGUUUAUUUUCUGGGGGCAUAGACAACUUACCAGUGUCUAUGCCUCUGAGGAAAAAUGAUUCCUUGUCCGUCUCUCCCCUUGUCCCCAAACUACUACUUGCCAAUAGCUUCUUUGCUAUGGGUGGGGCCCAAUGUUCAAUUUUGGAGGGAUGUAUAAAAACCAGUUAUUUUUUUUCUUCCUUUACAUUUUCAAAUGGAACUCAAAAGUCAGACAACAUAAGCAUCAGGAACGGACAGUGGUGGGCCUCUUUGUUGUAAAAGGUGUGGUUCUUGUCUUUCACUGGGGUGGAUGAGUUGACGCCCUCAUUUACGACACCUGCAGACAGGACUGGGGUAAAUGUGAAGUCUUGGGAAGAGACUGUGUGUCUUUGAGGAUUUGAAUGUUCAUUGAGCUGACAUCAUUUGUGGUUUUCACUCACUGAAGACAGAUAGAGCUGGGCAAAAAGUCCUGGGUGGGUUGUGGCCGUCCAAAGGCUUCCAUAACUCACAUCCAAACUGCUGGACACAUGGUAGGGAUUGCUGUAGAAUAUGUGUGCCGUGACUGGCCCAUGAAUAGUCUGUCAUACCGUCGUUGCCCAGGCAAGAUCAGGCAUUAGCAACACAGCCUUUAUACCAUCUUUCAUUGACACCUGGAAAUUUCUGAUGUUAUUCCUAGGACUCCAUAGACACCAGAGCUUUACCUCUUGGCUCCUCAGAAACACUUUCCAUUUUCAUCUCUGCCUUAUGAAGCAGAAGCCGACAACAUUGCCUAAUGCUUUGUAGCAUUCGGCGUUAUUACAUUUAUAAUGUUAUUCAAUUUAAAAAUAAACGUAUUUCCACUUUGCAA
Long non-coding RNA from Mastomys coucha (southern multimammate mouse), 2343 nucleotides. RefSeq lists it as uncharacterized. The transcript is spliced from 2 exons. Lineage: Eukaryota; Metazoa; Chordata; Mammalia; Rodentia; Muridae. The record is from RefSeq and is a predicted model, not a curated record.